GACGAACGCUGGCGGCGUGCUUAACACAUGCAAGUCGAACGGAAAGGCCCUGCUUUUGUGGGGUGCUCGAGUGGCGAACGGGUGAGUAACACGUGAGUAACCUGCCCUUGACUUUGGGAUAACUUCAGGAAACUGGGGCUAAUACCGGAUAGGCGCUCCUGCUGCAUGGUGGGGGUUGGAAAGUUUCGGCGGUUGGGGAUGGACUCGCGGCUUAUCAGAUUGUUGGUGGGGUAGUUGCUUACCAAGGCUUUGACGGGUAGCCGGCCUGAGAGGGUGACCGGCCACAUUGGGACUGAGAUACGGCCCAGACUCCUACGGGAGGCAGCAGUGGGGAAUAUUGCACAAUGGGCGGAAGCCUGAUGCAGCAACGCCGCGUGCGGGAUGACGGCCUUCGGGUUGUAAACCGCUUUCGCCUGUGACGAAGCGUGAGUGACGGUAAUGGGUAAAGAAGCACCGGCUAACUACGUG
This 468-nucleotide ribosomal RNA is filed under the name uncultured bacterium. RNAcentral's name for it is "partial 16S ribosomal RNA". It matches the Rfam family "Bacterial small subunit ribosomal RNA", at positions 28 to 507 of the family's 1533-position model. The record is from RNAcentral.